AUCCGGUUGACGAGUCCCAAAUAGGACAAAACCUGAGUCCUGGAU
Molecule: non-coding RNA, 45 nt
Organism: Schistosoma mattheei
Lineage: Eukaryota; Metazoa; Platyhelminthes; Trematoda; Strigeidida; Schistosomatidae
Source: Rfam